AUGGUCGGGCAAAACCUGCAUCUCCUGUUGCGCUGCAGAUUCCUCUUCGUCUGUCCUGGAUCGGCCCGAGUUUCUGUCCCUGUGCUGUCCAGAACCGAGCGGAGCUUUGGUCCUCAAAGGUGCCUCAGAGGACAGAGAGAGUUUGUCCAGGUGCUCCGUGAUGGGGGCAGCUCUCGGAUGCUGCGGCCUGGUCCUGCCUCCUCUCCUCGGUCCCCUCAUCUGGUUCUGACGUCUCUGGCCCUGAACUCCUCUGGAGUGGGACUUUCCGGGAGUAAACGGAUCCGCUCGCACACUGGUGUCAUUGGAGGAGGACACCGGGGCGUCUGGAGGAACUUCAGCCUCCUGGUUUCCAUCUUCAGCAGCAGCACUAUCAUAACCAGCAUUUCCUGCGCGUCGGUGGGACCGUUUCUCAGAAACUACUUUUCCAUCGUCUGCCUAAACCCGUCCGCAUCUUUUCUGACAUCUCAUCAAAAAGAGAUUCUCCUCCUGGAAGCAGCGAUGCGCAUGACUGCAGGAGCUCGGCGUCUGAAUCGGGUCUCACCUCGUUGAUGUGAAUCAGGAAGCGGUUGGACUCCACCUCGGGGUCAAUGAUGCCUCCUUUAGACCUCUGCUUUUCCAGGAUCCUCUGGAGCUCCGCCCACUUCUGCUGAAAGUCUGCGCCGAACGCCUCGCCGUGGAACUGCGGGGGGAGAAACAAACCGAGUCCACGUUCUGCUUUCCGCUGCAAACAUCUGCAUCGUCGCUUUACCUCGGGCAGCUGAGGGGCGGGAGACGACAGAAGGUGGUCGAGGUCGUAGGUCAGAGUCUCUCUGCACACCGGACACACCACGGUCAGCUCCUGUCAGAGCGGUCAGAGGGGUUUCAGCUUUCUCUCCUUUGCACCGUUUCUCAGCAGACCUCAUCUGACCUGGUGCUCCGCUCGCUCUCGGGUCUUGUCCUCCUCCAGCUCCCUCUCCCUCUGCUGGAGCUCCGCCUCCGAGUGGCGGACGUAGCGGCCGAGGCAGUGGGAGUGGAAGUAGUGGUAGCAGCUGGUCUUGGUGAAGGCCUCCCCCUCCUGAGGAGCACACGCACACUUACAGCAGCAGACGACCACGGCGAUCCGCCAACUUCAAACGCCGUACCUUAAAAUCGUAAAGACAUAUGACGCAGUUUCCAUGAGGAAUGUUGCUCUCAGUCAGGAUCUCUUUCGCUUUCUGGAGAGGAGAAGUUUUCACGUUUAAGCGGUAAAAAAACCCAGCAGACAUGUCUUUGUACUGAAGAUUUGGCAUAUGAACCUCAAUGAGCUGAUAUAAGAUGGCAGAACCCAGACACGACGCGGCCUCCAGCUGAAGACACGCCUGCACGCUGCGUGAGACGACCACAGAGGAUCAGCACAGCUGGAAGACGUCACCGUGACGCCACUAAGAGCCGCUUUGUUACCUGCUGAGUUUGUCAUCGGACAGGCCGCGGGGGUUACGGAUGGAGAUGACCGGAGGGGAGCAGGGGUACUGAAGGAGGACACAAACACGUUACCGCUGCGGCGCCGGCGCCUGUCGCAGAGCGCCUGCAGGGACGGGCCUACCUGCUGAUCCAGGGUCAGCGUCAGGGUGAGACGCACAAACUGAGAGACGGCGUCCUGUCCUGUCGACGGGUGCAGAACCAGACUCACCUCCCAGCCUCUUGAGCAACAACACAACUGUUAACAGACUGACACACAAACACAACUGCAGGCAUGAAUUCAGACCAACACAAAAAAACAUUCCAGAGAUGAUGUCUGUUCCAGGACUCCCUUUGAAGAUCCACUCCCAUGAAAAUGCUGUUUCUGUUUUUCUGAUGAUGGGGGGCAUUUAUAAAGAAAAUUAAGCUUAAAACUAUAUUUCUGAGUAUUUAUUUAUUCAGAUUGCUCUGAAUCAGGACCAGAUGAAGAAAUACAGAUGGAAGAAUACGGUAUUUGUGCGCUGGGCGGGGCCACAAGCUUCCUGCUCCGCCCCUUUUCUGAUGCACCCACUGUCAGACAAAUGGAUCCAUGAACGUCUUUGUUUUCCUCGUCUGAACUGAAAUCCGGAUCUAAACUGUACGGCUAGUUAGCUCUGAUGCUGCUUUCAGGUUUCUACUGAACAUUGUCUGAGCGCGGCACGUGUGGUUUUGUUAUGAUAAACGGAAACGGCUCAUAGAAAACUCCUCCGGUGUCACGAGGCUUCCUGAGGCUUCCAGAUUUCUCAUCGCUGACGCCGAAGGUCGCAGUCGGGAGCGGUGGUGAGGAGCCCCCCCCCCCCCCCCCCCAACACUUUCUGACAGCAGCAGCUCCAGAGAUGGGAGGAAGUCAGAGACCCUCUGGGUCAUGAACCCGAUGGUUCUGCCCUCCAGCUUCCACCUCCCCUCUCCUCUCAGUUUGAACCGAACUGUGCUUCUCCUCUCAGCACUUUAGCAUCACAGCUGACUGCAUGUGCUGUUGCCAUGGAGACCACCAGCAUCCUAUCCCCAUCUGAGCCCUGACACAAAAACUGUGAUGCAGCUCCUCCCCUGGAGUCAGUGAGGAGCAGCAUCACCUCUCUGCAGGAGGUCCACCAGAACUCCUCUGUUCAACCACAGAAAGGAGGCGUAACUGGUUAGAAUCCAGCUAAAGGAAGCAUCACUUUUCCAGUCAGAUGAUGUCAGAUCCACAGCAGGACUCCAUUUUGGUGGAAUCUCCCUGUUUUUUCAUGGAUUGUAGAGACAGACUUCACGAUUUUACCCGGAAAUGAAACAUAAAAACCUGCGUUGUGGUUUUUGUCAAAGCGUUUCGCAUCUCAGAGACUUUUCUGUGCCGAGAAAUCUUCAUUUUAUAACAGAUUAAAGGAAAAGAACCGAAAAGAAGCACGCAGAUCCGGUUCCUCACCCGUCCUGCUUCCGGUCCACCUGCAGGUCCUCCAGGUAAAUGGACUGCAGCACCUCGAUCUCCGACUGAACACUGCGGACAGAGAACAGCUGAUUGGAGUGUUACUGUUUCAUAAGCAGCUGUUCGUUAGCUUUCCUUUAGCUAACUGUCCCGUUUCUGAUAAACGUGACAAACGGGACUCAGAUUAAAGAGAUAAUUAUGUGACGCGAGAUUAAAUCAUCUCUGUUUGAUUUUUUUUUAAAGUCGUUUAAAGACAAAUCAAAGGAACUGUCGAGACACUCACUCGCUCUCCACGGCCAUCAUGUUUCUGCUGCCGACUAGCGGAAGUUACGUCAUUUAUCUGACUUUCAAAACAAAAG
RNAcentral lists this long non-coding RNA (3216 nucleotides) under Oryzias sinensis (Chinese medaka). RNAcentral's name for it is "lncRNA (ENSOSIG00000015589.1)". Lineage: Eukaryota; Metazoa; Chordata; Actinopteri; Beloniformes; Adrianichthyidae. The record is from RNAcentral.